UCCUCCGUGGCGCAAUUGGCUAGCGCGUCUGACUGUUAUUCGUAAAGGUUGAAAGUUCGAGCCUUUCCGGGGGAG
Molecule: transfer RNA, 75 nt
Filed under: Metarhizium acridum CQMa 102
Lineage: Eukaryota; Fungi; Ascomycota; Sordariomycetes; Hypocreales; Clavicipitaceae
Description: tRNA-Asn (GTT) (tRNA-Asn-GTT-1-1)
Rfam family: tRNA
About the family: Transfer RNA (tRNA) molecules are approximately 80 nucleotides in length. Their secondary structure includes four short double-helical elements and three loops (D, anti-codon, and T loops).
Source: RNAcentral